GAUGAAGAACGCAGCGAAAUGCGAUAAGUAAUGUGAAUUGCAGAAUUCAGUGAAUCAUCGAAUCUUUGAACGCACAUUGCGCCCGCCAGUAUUCUGGCGGGCAUGCCUGUUCGAGCGUCAUUUCAACCAUCAAGCCCCAGGCUUGUGUUGGGGACCUGCGGCUGCCGCAGGCCCUGAAAACCAGUGGCGGGCUCGCUGUCACACCGCGCGUAGUAGAUUUUAUCUCGCUCAGGGCGUGCUGCGGGUUCCGGCCGUUAAAAAGCCUUUUUUACCCAAGGUUGACCUCGGAUCAGGUAGGAAGACCCGCUGAACUUAAGCAUAUCAAUAGCGGAGGA
This 335-nucleotide unclassified non-coding RNA is filed under the name soil metagenome. Its description in RNAcentral is "partial contains 5.8S ribosomal RNA, internal transcribed spacer 2, and large subunit ribosomal RNA". The stretch from base 1 to 120 matches the Rfam family "5.8S ribosomal RNA", at positions 35 to 154 of the family's 154-position model. The record is from RNAcentral.